RNAcentral lists this ribosomal RNA (253 nucleotides) under uncultured bacterium. Its description in RNAcentral is "partial 16S ribosomal RNA". It matches the Rfam family "Bacterial small subunit ribosomal RNA", at positions 524 to 776 of the family's 1533-position model. The record is from RNAcentral.
UACGUAGGGACCAAGCGUUGUUCGGAUUUACUGGGCGUAAAGGGCGCGUAGGCGGCAAUUCAAGUCAGCUGUGAAAUCUCCGGGCUUAACUCGGAACGGUCAGCUGAUACUGCUUUGCUAGAGUGCAGAAGGGGCAAUCGGAAUUCUUGGUGUAGCGGUGAAAUGCGUAGAUAUCAAGAGGAACACCUGAGGUGAAGACGGGUUGCUGGGCUGACACUGACGCUGAAGCGCGAAAGCUAGGGGAGCGAACGGG